UAAGACUCACCAGGAAUGCAAUCUUUCUAU
Molecule: non-coding RNA, 30 nt
Filed under: Mus musculus (house mouse)
Lineage: Eukaryota; Metazoa; Chordata; Mammalia; Rodentia; Muridae
Source: RNAcentral